UACGGGGGGUGCAAGCGUUACUCGGAAUUAUUGGGCGUAAAGGGCGCGCAGGCGGCCAGGUAAGUCAGGUGUGAAAGCCCGGGGCUUAACCCCGGAAGUGCAUUUGAUACUAUCUGGCUUGAGUAUGGGAGAGGGAAGUGGAAUUCCUGGUGUAGAGGUGAAAUUCGUAGAUAUCAGGAGGAACACCGGUGGCGAAGGCGACUUCCUGGACCAAUACUGACGCUGAGGCGCGAAGGCGUGGGUAGCAAACAGG
Molecule: ribosomal RNA, 253 nt
Filed under: uncultured bacterium
Lineage: Bacteria
Description: partial 16S ribosomal RNA
Rfam family: Bacterial small subunit ribosomal RNA
Source: RNAcentral